AUUUCUUUUUCAAACCUGAGGUUUUCGGUCUCUCUCAUAUUUUUUUUCUCUCUUUCAGCUUCAAAACUCAACCCUAAUCUAUCUUCAAUCCUAAAAACCAUCUUCCAUCUUCAAAGCUCAACCAUUUUCAUCGCCUUCCUCCGAGCUUUCUACAUGACAAGAUCGUUGGAGAAAAUUUUCUUUUUCAUCUUCCUAUUCGUCUGCAGUAAAACACGUCCAAUCUCAGAUUUUUGUUGGUGAGUUAUGAGUUAUGGGUUAUGCCGCUUCGUAUGGAGUUGCCGGUUUGGUUCCACCGUUCGUAUUUCACCACCAAUGUCACUAUUUUCCUCAAGGCUGUAGGUGAUAAAUAUAUUAUAUUGCAAGGAUUGUUGAGUUCUUUGAAUAUGAAGACAAAAUUCUAUAAGGAUACAUCUUUUUGAUUUUGAAAUUAUGAUAUUGUGAUGACUCACGGGAAUGAAUCAAACUGAUUCGGGCGGGUUGGGAGCCUUUUCUCAGUCACCGACAACUCAAAACACUCGUACUAUGCAUGAUCUGCAGGAAAAGACAUUGCCAUUUGCCUUUACAUCUUUUAGCUUGCAUGUAAAAUCCCUUGGUACAAAUGUUCCUCUCACGGGGGUUCCGUCUGCAUGUUGGAGUAAAUUUGUAUUUUUGCGCUUGUGUUAUGAAAUUUUCGUUUUACUUUUAUUUGUUUUUCUAGCUGGUGUCAAUCAUGUUGAUGACCCUAUGAAUGUUGACUUUCCCAUUUUGUAGAUGGACUGCGUUUGACAUCGAAAAUAGCUUUGUAAGUGAUUGUUUUGGCAUUGAAAUGGCAGUUGGAAAGUCUCACAGUUUCCAGAUGUUGGAGCCUAUAAAGCCUCCACCUACUAAGAAGCCUCGCAGUUCGUCAGGAAGAUCAUGUUCAAGUGAAGUUAUGGAACAAGAAAUCUGGAAAGAUUUUCCUGAAGAUUUAUUUGAGGCGGUAAUUGCACGGCUUCCUAUUGUCAUUUUUUCCACUUCUGAUCCAGCAAGUUCCUUUUCACUCUAUGGAGGGAGUGUCUGUGCCAAAGUUUCAAUGUUACUCUGUCUAGAUCGUGAAUGGUUUGAAAUUUCAACAAUGGUGAAAACCAGAUCAGCAGACUCACUUAGUUGCUUGUCAUUCAGAGUGGAUUUGAAGCAGAUAAGAUGGAUGGGGAUACUGCAGGUAUGAAUUGAAAUUUAAUGUUCUCGCAAGUUCAAGUUGUGAAACCAAUCAAUAAAUUGUAGAACAUUAUAGAAAAUUCAUGGAACAGCUUCUUUGGUUGUCUAUAUUUAUUUUAAUGUGUGACUACUCUUCUCAUGUUUAUUGCAAAAUAUGAUUCGGGCUACGCAAAUUGCAAGUAAGGAUGCUAUUAUCUUAGUAUACUGUUAUUGUUGUGAGCUUAUUCUAGCUAUAUAGAGCUUGUAGGUGUAAUUUUAAAUCACAAUAGUAUAUCUAUUUUUUCUUUUAUAGCGAGAGCAGGACCAUAUGCAAAAAAAGGACGUAUUUCUCACGCAACAAUCAAAUGACGAGGCAUAAUAAUUACGACAAUGCUCACACGGCUGCGGAGAAUGGACCUAUCUUGCUUGGAGGAUAGCAUUAGCAUCUCAUUUAUUCUGGUACUUUGGGAAGACUAUCCUAACAUUCUACAGCUUACCAUUUUCAAUUUUCUUCUCAUUCUAGAAUCCUAUUUAUGUGGCAUGUGUGACUUAAGAACUUCUGUAGUCAAAUCGAGUUCUGUUCCUGUUCAUAAUUUGAUUUACGUUUUCUGUUCAAAAUUUGAUAUCCAUAUCCUUUAUAUUUAAUGCUCAUAUUAUCUUAAGUUUUCCCCUGCUGUGAGAUUCUUCCUCGACAAAAGAAAAUAGUUUUGUCUAAAUGGUUGGCACAUUUUACAUCCUAUCAUUAUAUAAUUACCAAUAACUUUAUAUGGUUUUGUCACUGAAAUAUGUGAAUUACAUCAAUUGUCAUCAGUUUAAAGGAUUUAAAAACUGCGACAAGGAACUUAAUUCAAGGAACUAUAUGAUUUUGUCAUCAGUCUAAAUUGUUGUCAUUGAAGUGCUUUAGUUUAAAGGAAUUAAAAACUGCGACAAGUAACUUAAUUCAAGUGACAAAUGACGAGCUUUGUUGCGUAAAAGGGUGGAUUGAUGAGAAUACAUUCGCCCCAAUAAACCAGAUUCUGGUUUUGCAAUUACUGUCAGAAAGCUUAACCAAGUGUGCCAUGAGGAACAUAAUGAAUUGUUGGUGAGUUUCAUUCCAGAAACUUUUACUCAAAGCUUGUGAUAUGUUUAAUUGUCAUCUUACUUUAUUAUAGAGAAUAAUCAAUAUUAUGAGACAAUUGAGUCAUCCCAAUCUUGUCGAACUCAUUGGUUACUGCUUAGAAGAUAUCAACCCCAUUUUGGUAUAUGAAUUUUUGGCCGAGAGAAGUUUGGAAAAUCAUUCGUGUAAAAGAUCUUCUAAUGUUUAGCCGCUAUCAUGGAAAAGCCGAAUGAAGAUAGCUCUUGAUGCUGCUAAGGCUCUUGCAUUUCUUCACAGUGAUGAAGUCAAAGUGAUACAUGAAGAUUUAAAUACUUCUAAUAUCUUAAUAGAUUCAGUAAGUGGUUUCUUUUAUCUAACAAACUUACAAAUGAAGAGUUUACCAGUUAGAGGUUUAUAAAUUCUUCUAUGUGAAUGAAAAAAUCACAAUGAAAAGAUACUCGAUUUCGGGUUGGAUAAAAACCAAAGGGUUAUUAGGAGGUGUCAAGAUUAUGCAGCAAUUUACUCAGCACCUGAGUACUUAAUGACGGGUAACUGAUUAUUCUUACUACAUAAUAAAAAUUAGCAAUAACUUUUAAUAUUCCUAACUUUUCUUGCCAUUGUCUUUUAAUUUAAGUUCAACAAACCAAAAAGGGUGAUGUAUACAGUUUUGGAGCUGUUCUGUUGGAAAUUAUGUGGAAAAUGUGCACUAUGAUGGCGAUGAUGAGUGGUCUUCCAAGUCACGGAUUCCUAUAUAGAAGGUCAAUAUUCGCCGCGUGAAGCAAAAAAAGUAGCUUGCAUUGCAAUUUGUUGUCUGUAUGAAACACCAAAAAAUAGACCAAACAUGGAUGAGGUUGUGAGAGCAUUGGAUUUGGAACAACUUCAGGAUUUUGAUGACACAAUUGGAACAAAUUCUCCAUUUUGUGAAAACAUACAUUAUUUUGCAUUUUUGAAUAAACAUUAGGAGACUGAAACAUAUUUUGCUAUCUGUGUCACGCCAUGUUGACAUUAAGAGUAUAUGACUUCACUAAUAUUUCUUAUGAAAAGUAAAGAGGCCAACACAGUAGAAGGAAAUAAGGUAUCAUGA
Molecule: long non-coding RNA, 3314 nt
Organism: Vicia villosa (hairy vetch)
Lineage: Eukaryota; Viridiplantae; Streptophyta; Magnoliopsida; Fabales; Fabaceae
Exons: 4
Source: RefSeq, a predicted model, not a curated record